Molecule: long non-coding RNA, 1205 nt
Filed under: Lonchura striata (white-rumped munia)
Lineage: Eukaryota; Metazoa; Chordata; Aves; Passeriformes; Estrildidae
Description: domestica (Bengalese finch) lncRNA (ENSLSDG00000004726.1)
Source: RNAcentral
AGGGAUCCGGUUUUAGUGUUUAUCUGAAACUUUUUCUUCUCCACAAAUGGGUUAAUUGCUGCCAUCUCUUGUGCAAGAUUUUCAGGUUUUGUUUCAGUUCCAGCCAGUCUUUGUCUUAAAAAAUGACAUAGCCUGCAAUAUUAGUCUAAAAGGAAUUUCACAAGAGAUUCAUUUCAUCCAAACACUAAGCAUUUUGUAUAUAUGACUGAUCUCAGUAGUGAACCCCUGCAAACUUCAGCAGCACGUCUAAUAUUUUAAUAAGCAGCUAAUAUUUAGCCCAUCCAUUAAACCACUCCAUAAAUGAAUUAUUGAGCGCAAUCUGCUCUCCCGUGCCCACCUUCCUUUCCCACAAGGCUGUGGUUUUUAGCUAAGCCGGCGUGGAGCUCUCUUAUCUCCAAAUAAAACAAAACGGCUCCGCCGAGCGCCUGCACUGCCGAGCCCGGCGGGGGAAGGCAGCGGCAGCCGGGGGCUCUCGCCUCUCUCGGCAGCACCGGCAGCGCAGAUGGACAAUCACAAAUCCUGUCCCACGGCACCGUGAGUGAUGCCGGUGUAGCGGGAGCCUCGGGCAGCGCUUCCCCGCCGCGCCAGGACCUCGCUCCGCGGGACAGCGGGACACAGGGACAGCGGGACACACGGACAGCGGGACACACGGACACCGGGCUGCCGUGCCCCGGGCUGCGCUGGAUGCUCCGCGGGCUGCAGGGCCGGCCGCGGCCACCCGGCUCCUCCGACCAUGAAACCCUGGCAGCUGCUCGCAGGCGUGGGAGAUGCCCUUCAGGACACUAAAGCAGAGAGCAGUUCUGGUGUAGAAACUGAGGACAGAAAAAUAGCAGCAAAGAAACCUGAAUGAGAACAGACUGGCUGAGGAAUAUUUCUCCCACAUUAAAUUGUAUGAUUAUCGUUCUCCUUCAUCAUUGCUGAUAAGAAAAAUGUUUCUUAGAACCUGAAGUGUGACUUGAGAUGGCUCUGAUAAAACAUCCAGCAUGAUUUUGAAUUUUUAUUAUUUCACCUGUUCAAAGUUGAAUUUAAAACCUAUGACUAUCUUAAGGUUUUUUAAAACACCUCUUUAUCUGGGUGUAUUUUUAAACUCUGAAAUGUAAGCCUCUUGAUAGAUUAUAUGGGGAAGAUGAAUCUCUUGAAUCACAUACAUUAUGUACUACAUCUUUUAUGUAACUUGAAAUAAUGAAUGUAAGGUUGGCUGUGAC